UAACCUGCCCAAGAGAUCGGGAUAACACCUGGAAACAGAUGCUAAUACCGGAUAACAACAGAUGAUGCCUAUCAACUGUUUAAAAGAUGGUUCUGCUAUCACUCUUGGAUGGACCUGCGUUGCAUUAGCUAGUUGGUAGGGUAACGGCCUACCAAGGCGAUGAUGCAUAGCCGAGUUGAGAGACUGAUCGGCCACAUUGGGACUGAGACACGGCCCAAACUCCUACGGGAGGCAGCAGCU
Molecule: ribosomal RNA, 240 nt
Filed under: uncultured Lactobacillus sp.
Lineage: Bacteria; Bacillati; Bacillota; Bacilli; Lactobacillales; Lactobacillaceae
Description: partial 16S ribosomal RNA
Rfam family: Bacterial small subunit ribosomal RNA
Source: RNAcentral